RNAcentral lists this ribosomal RNA (492 nucleotides) under uncultured bacterium. RNAcentral describes it as "partial 16S ribosomal RNA". It matches the Rfam family "Bacterial small subunit ribosomal RNA", at positions 29 to 507 of the family's 1533-position model. The record is from RNAcentral.
AGUGAACGCUGGCGGUAGGCCUAACACAUGCCAGUCGAACGGCAGCACAGUAAGAGCUUGCUCUUACGGGUGGCGAGUGGCGGACGGGUGAGGAAUACAUCGGAAUCUACUUUUUCGUGGGGGAUAACGUAGGGAAACUUACGCUAAUACCGCAUACGACCUACGGGUGAAAGCAGGGGAUCUUCGGACCUUGCGCGAUUGAAUGAGCCGAUGUCGGAUUAGCUAGUUGGCGGGGUAAAGGCCCACCAAGGCGACGAUCCGUAGCUGGUCUGAGAGGAUGAUCAGCCACACUGGAACUGAGACACGGUCCAGACUCCUAAGGGAGGCAGCAGAGGGGAAUGUUGGACAAUGGGCGCAAGCCUGAUCCAGCCAUACCGCGUGGGUGAAGAAGGCCUUCGGGUUGUAAAGCCCUUUUGUUGGGAAAGAAAAGCAGCAGGUUAAUAACCCGCUGUUCUGACGGUACCCAAAGAAUAAGCACCGGCUAACUUCGUG